UGCUCAUUGCAAACAACUAGAUAUACACAAAGAAAAUUACUGAGGCAGCAAUAGCUGAUCAUCAACCAUACAUUGGCAACAAGAAUCGGAUUCUAUACUCCAUCAUCAAGCCUAACAAAAGCUAAAGGACAAGGUCCCUAUUGACAAAUUUUUGUUGAGAUUUUAGCCAAAUUUUGAUGUGUUGACUAAGAAAUAGCCUAUUUUUAAUGGUAGAAGUAUAUUAGAAAAUUUUACUUGAUUACCAUAUAAAAAAUUUGGCAAUAAUGACCUUAUGGAAACAAUCAAAACUUAUAAGUUGAAAUUUAGUGGACAAUAAAAUUUAGAGGAACUGAUAAUUUUAAUGACCAUAGAUGAAAUUGUGCCAAUUUUGCAAAUCCAAAUUGUUAUAUUGCACUUCACAGAGUUAGAUCUCUACCACAAAGCAUGGUUGUCAUAGCCGCAUUAUUCAUCAUAAAAAAAAAUGCUUGGGCCAGAAAAGAUAAAUAAAAUAUCUAAUUGAAAUCAUAAUCAAUAGAUAACACACUUUUAAGCAAAUAAAGCUAUUAUUAUAUAUAAUUUCAAAGAUUCUGAAUUUCCAAUAUUAUUAGCCAUGAAGAACAUUUCAAUUAACUG
Molecule: unclassified non-coding RNA, 612 nt
Filed under: Hevea brasiliensis (rubber tree)
Lineage: Eukaryota; Viridiplantae; Streptophyta; Magnoliopsida; Malpighiales; Euphorbiaceae
Source: RNAcentral